This 497-nucleotide ribosomal RNA is filed under the name uncultured bacterium. RNAcentral's name for it is "partial 16S ribosomal RNA". It matches the Rfam family "Bacterial small subunit ribosomal RNA", at positions 28 to 507 of the family's 1533-position model. The record is from RNAcentral.
GAUGAACGCUGGCGGCGUGCCUAAUACAUGCAAGUCGAGCGAACAGACGAGGAGCUUGCUCCUCUGACGUUAGCGGCGGACGGGUGAGUAACACGUGGAUAACCUACCUAUAAGACUGGGAUAACUUCGGGAAACCGGAGCUAAUACCGGAUAAUAUAUUGAACCGCAUGGUUCAAUAGUGAAAGACGGUGUUGCUGUAACUUAUAGAUGGAUCCGCGCCGCAUUAGCUAGUUGGGAAGGUAACGGCUUACCAAGGCAACGAUGCGUAGCCGACCUGAGAGGGUGAUCGGCCACACGGGAAGUGAGACACGGUCCAGACUCCUACGGGAGGCAGCAGUAGGGAAUCUUCCGCAAUGGGCGAAAGCCUGACGGAGCAACGCCGCGUGAGGGAUGAAGGUCUUCGGAUCGUAAAACUCUGUUAUUAGGGAAGAACAAAUGUGUAAGUAACUAUGCACGUCUUGACGGUACCUAAUCAGAAAGCCACGGCUAACUACGUG